UAUGUACUCCCUCCGUUCAGAAUUACUUGUCUCGGAAAAGGAUGUAUCUAGAACUAAAAUACAUCUAGAUACAUCCAUUUCCGAGACAAGUAAUUCCGAACGGAGGGAGUACAUU
Triticum aestivum (bread wheat) is the source of this 115-nucleotide non-coding RNA. Lineage: Eukaryota; Viridiplantae; Streptophyta; Magnoliopsida; Poales; Poaceae. The record is from Rfam.